Leptonychotes weddellii (Weddell seal) is the source of this 2072-nucleotide non-coding RNA. The record is from RefSeq and is a predicted model, not a curated record. NCBI's taxonomy places the organism in Eukaryota, Metazoa, Chordata, Mammalia, Carnivora, Phocidae.
GUUUUGUAGAAGCCCCUAAGGGAAAAAAACUCAGUUCAUCAAAAAGUUUCCAAACACAUGGAUUUCAUGUGCUGAACAAGCAUUUAUUUAUCCUGGAUUAUUACCUUUCUCCAGUAUCCCCGAGUUUAUUCAUUAUUGCGACCUUUACAACUGUACAAUCAUAAUUGUUCCUGUGUAUCACGUCUGUCGGCACUGUGAUAUUUCCUACUGUCCUUGUUCGACAAUGCCCAGACUUCAUUUCCCCCCCUAAUUUGAACUCCAGGAUGAUGAUCGCCCACAUUGGUUUUUGUUUUGAACAGGGAGAAGGCGAGAGGAGCGAGGAACAGACGUGGUUUCGUUACCUGCGGGUCGUUUCACCUCAACUUUCCGUCCAACGUUCGGCUGCCUCGUAGAACUCACCGUUCCUGCGUGCCCACGGGGGACGGAGCUGCAAGGCGCCGGCCCACCUGCUCGCUCAGAAGAUAAAAUAACAGUCCACUUUGUAAACCGUGACGGUGAGACAUUAACAGCCAAAGGAAAAGUUGGUGACUCUCUACUAGAUGUUGUGAUUGAAAAUAAUCUAGAUAUUGAUGGUUUUGUCUGUUGCCUCGUUACCUUACCGAUGAUGACUUGUGUGCCACUAAGCUGGGAGUAGUAACCGGAGUUGAAAGACACCAGUAGCCUGAAAACUCUGCAGCUUCGGAACUACGGGAGCUGUGAAGACCAGCAGCCUCGCGGCCACUGGGGAACAGAUGGGGUUUGAACUCCUCAGGAAGUCCAGUCUGCUGGACGCGGGCACCUGUCCCACAGCUUCCCGGGAGAGCUCCAUCCCAGGGCUUGUUCUUUGGCCUGCCUCCGAGACGGCUGUGUGCAAGAAGCUCUGUCUCUAGGACCUUAGUCUAAAGCAGUCACCUGCCAUUGUCUGCCGACACUGUCAUACCAGCUGGGCAAAGAAGAGCCCGGCCAAACGUUUAAAAGGGAGAUCUGGGGAACGAGAUGUUCUGUAGUGGGCUUUGAAAUGCCCUGGGGAUCUGGAAGGCUGUGCACAUGUGCAGGACUCGGCUCACGCCUGGGAAAGACGUGACAGGGUCCUAGCCCCUCACCUCGGCUGGUCUUCAGGUCCCCCAUGGUGAAGGCUGUGACAGACGUGUAGGCUGCUCGAACGUCGAAGGUGAGCACACCACACACACACACCAAGCUCAUCAGCAAACGGUAGAAGACUCACUGGUUCCAAGCAUUGAAGGACACCCUGCCCGGUCAUCUGGCUGACCACCAACCUAAGCAAGCAGAGACCUCAGUGGCUGCACACAACAGGGAAGACAGACUUCAGAGAAUUAGAACAGGAGAGUCACCAGGAAGCACCUAGCAGCAACAACAAACCCAGGGCACAGGCUGGAGAUCCUCAUUUCCACAGUUGCCACAUCGUAUUAUCUCCAGUGUCCACUUGAAAUAAAAAAAAUUCAAGCACCGAAAGAAAUGGAAAGUGUGGCCCAUACUCAGGAAAAAAAAAACAGUCAAUAGAAGCUCCCCCCCCCCGCCCCGAGGAGGCCCACGUGGUAGACUUUCCAGACAAAGAUGUUACACCAGCUGUUACAGAAGUUCAAAAUGCUGAGGGGAAACUACAUGGAGGUGUUCUCUGGCAUCUUCACGUCGGAAUGUGUGGAGGCCAUCGCCACUCUAAGUGGGGAUCCCAUAAAUGAAAUAAUGAACGUUGUUAAUGCCCUUGAGAAAGCUGAGCUUUUGAGCUCUGAGAAAGCUAAUGUGGAGGCUGCGACCAGUAAAUCGAUUUUUAUAAAUUUCUCCACAGAUUCGAUCAUAUGCACUAGGCCUAUGCACUGGGCUAUUACUGCAGAGAUAUUUGUAAUAGCAAAAGAUUUGAAACAACUGAAUGCCCAUCAGUAGAGGGCUGGUGUAUAAGUUAUACAACAGGAUAUUAUAUGUCUGUGUUAAAAGAAAAAGUCUCUGGAAGGAGCCUUAAAAACAAAUAUCAGUGGUUACCUGUUGGUAGGAGGGAGAUUUUCAUUCUACAGCUUUUUUUUUUUUAUAAGAUUUUUUUUAUUUACUUGAGAGAGAGAGAGCUCACAAGCCAGGGG